RNAcentral lists this long non-coding RNA (569 nucleotides) under Ananas comosus (pineapple). Its description in RNAcentral is "long non-coding RNA (ACOM_LNC003450)". The record is from RNAcentral. Lineage: Eukaryota; Viridiplantae; Streptophyta; Magnoliopsida; Poales; Bromeliaceae.
AUAUAUAUAGAGAGAGAGAGAGAGAGAGAGAGAGAGAGAGAGAGAGAGAGAGAGAGAGCUAGGCUGGUAUAUUAUCGGUAGUACGGAGGUCUUCGUGAUAGCAAGUUGUUUUCAAUGGUGCGGUUUUCAUAUCCACAAUCGGAUCUAUUAAACUUGAUAUGCACUAUUGAAAGUAUUUGAAAACUCAAUUUUAUAAUUUUUCGAUAUUAUUUGGCUAGUGAUCAAAAGGUCUCAAAAUUAAUAAUUUUAAUGAUCGACGGUAUAAAACAAUCCAAAUCUGAUGAAAUUUUUAUAAAAUUUUGUUUCACUAUUUAGAGUAAGAUCAAAACCUCUUAUCUUAAAUUCAAGUCUUUUAUCAUUUUUUAAUGAGAUUUUUAUUUUUAACCGUUUUUUUUUAGGCUAUUCGUUUGAUAUGUAAAUAAUGUCAAAAAUUAUAAAACUUAAUUUUCAAAUACUUUAAAUAGUAUAAAUCAAGUCUAAUAGAGCCUAUCGUCGAUUUGGAAGCUGCAUCAUUGAAAACAACUUAGUAGUAUGGAGACCUCCAUGCUACCGAUAGUAUAACAGCUGGA